UACAGAGGGUGCAAACGUUGUUCGGAAUUACUGGGCGUAAAGCGCGUGUAGGCGGCUACGCAAGUCGGAUGUGAAAGCCCACGGCUCAACCGUGGAAGUGCACCCGAUACUAUGUAGCUUGAGUUCUGGAGAGGAAGGCGGAAUGCUUGGUGUAGAGGUGAAAUUCGUAGAUAUCAAGCGGAACACCUGUGGCGAAGGCGGCCUUCUGGACAGUGACUGACGCUGAGACGCGAAAGCGUGGGGAGCAAACAGG
This 253-nucleotide ribosomal RNA is filed under the name uncultured bacterium. Its description in RNAcentral is "partial 16S ribosomal RNA". It matches the Rfam family "Bacterial small subunit ribosomal RNA", at positions 524 to 776 of the family's 1533-position model. The record is from RNAcentral.